UACGUAGGGGGCGAGCGUUGUCCGGAAUUAUUGGGCGUAAAGAGCUCGUAGGCGGUUUGUCGCGUCUGCCGUGAAAGUCCGGGGCUCAACUCCGGAUCUGCGGUGGGUACGGGCAGACUAGAGUGAUGUAGGGGAGACUGGAAUUCCUGGUGUAGCGGUGAAAUGCGCAGAUAUCAGGAGGAACACCGAUGGCGAAGGCAGGUCUCUGGGCCACUACUGACGCUGAGAAGCGAAAGCAUGGGGAGCGAACAGG
This 253-nucleotide ribosomal RNA is filed under the name uncultured bacterium. Its description in RNAcentral is "partial 16S ribosomal RNA". It matches the Rfam family "Bacterial small subunit ribosomal RNA", at positions 524 to 776 of the family's 1533-position model. The record is from RNAcentral.